CAAGUAUUUGACCAAUCACAGUACAAUGUAUCUUUCAAACUAAUACCCACCCAGCUUGGAGAUAAUGAGGCCAACGGUUAUACAAUCUAAUUAUCUCCAAGCACCCAAAAGACCAUGCUUUAUUACGUUCCAGCAAACAGUAUAAAAAUAUAUAACUUAUAAGUUAUAAGACGAAUAUAGUUCAUUCCAUGCAUCAUUCAGUAGCUCAGAUCUGGAUGCAUUGAGUGUACGAAUUGCGCCCAGAUCCCGCUAACGGAACGGGAGGUUUCUGCUAUAGAAAGUC
This is a non-coding RNA of Pelobates cultripes (western spadefoot toad), 283 nucleotides long. The record is from the annotation of a GenBank genome assembly. Lineage: Eukaryota; Metazoa; Chordata; Amphibia; Anura; Pelobatidae.